UACGGAAGGCAGCAGUGGGGAAUAUUGCACAAUGGGCGAAAGCCUGAUGCAGCUAUGCCGCGUGUAUGAAGAAGGCCUUAGGGUUGUAAAGUACUUUCAUCGGGGAGGAAAAAACAAAACUAAUAAUUUUAUUUCUUGACGUUACCCGAAAAAGAAGCACCGGCUAACUCCGUGCCAGCAGCCGCGGUAAUACGGAGGGUGCUAGCGUUAAUCAGAAUUACUGGGCGUAAAGAGCACGUAGGUGGUUUUUUUAAAGUCAGAUGUGAAAUCCCUGGGCUUAACCUAGGAACUGCAUUUUGAAACUGAAAUACUAGAGUAUCGUAGAGGGAGGUAGAAUUCUAGGUGUAGCGGUGAAAUGCGUAGAUAUCUGGAGGAAUACCUGUGGCGAAAGCGGCCUCUUAAACGAAUACUGACACUGAGGUGCGAAAGCGUGGGGAGCAAACAGGGAUUAGGAUA
RNAcentral lists this ribosomal RNA (456 nucleotides) under uncultured bacterium. Its description in RNAcentral is "bacterial SSU rRNA". It matches the Rfam family "Bacterial small subunit ribosomal RNA", at positions 340 to 784 of the family's 1533-position model. The record is from RNAcentral.